Molecule: long non-coding RNA, 244 nt
Filed under: Elaeis guineensis (African oil palm)
Lineage: Eukaryota; Viridiplantae; Streptophyta; Magnoliopsida; Arecales; Arecaceae
Description: long non-coding RNA (EGUI_LNC007942)
Source: RNAcentral
UGAGUCGAAUGGUGAGUCACUGCAUGCAUCGCCACAUGGUCAGUUGCCUUGGAUGAAAGGAGUUGUUGUCUGUAAUGUCGAAUCCCGAUUCUGCCACAAUAUUCUUUGGAGUAUGACUGAUCAACCACUUUGUCAUCUUUGAGCUGUCGUAUCAGCAAAAAGAUUUGGUGUCAGACGUCAUUUGCAGAAGGUGAACCGAUGCCAGGUGUUAUAUCGGGAAGGCGAACCGGUAUCGUGCGAUUUG